Molecule: ribosomal RNA, 468 nt
Filed under: uncultured bacterium
Lineage: Bacteria
Description: partial 16S ribosomal RNA
Rfam family: Bacterial small subunit ribosomal RNA
Source: RNAcentral
GACGAACGCUGGCGGCGUGCUUAACACAUGCAAGUCGAACGGAAAGGCCCUGCUCUUGUGGGGUGCUCGAGUGGCGAACGGGUGAGUAACACGUGAGUAACCUGCCCUUGACUUUGGGAUAACUUUAGGAAACUGGGGCUAAUACCGGAUAGGAGCUCUUGCUGCAUGGUGGGGGAUGGAAAGAUUCGGCGGUUGGGGAUGGACUCGCGGCUUAUCAGCUUGUUGGUGGGGUAGUGGCUUACCAAGGCUUUGACGGGUAGCCGGCCUGAGAGGGUGACCGGCCACAUUGGGACUGAGAUACGGCCCAGACUCCUACGGGAGGCAGCAGUGGGGAAUAUUGCACAAUGGGCGGAAGCCUGAUGCAGCAGCGCCGCGUGCGGGAUGACGGCCUUCGGGUUGUAAACCGCUUUCGCCUGUGACGAAGCGUGAGUGACGGUAAUGGGUAAAGAAGCACCGGCUAACUACGUG